Molecule: non-coding RNA, 3251 nt
Organism: Anoplopoma fimbria (sablefish)
Lineage: Eukaryota; Metazoa; Chordata; Actinopteri; Perciformes; Anoplopomatidae
Source: the annotation of a RefSeq genome assembly
CAACAGUACUUUAUUUAUUUUUUUCAAGCAUUUUAUCUUAAUUCUGCACUAUGUUCUUAUGUCCGUCACCUCCCUAGCACCUGGAAUCAUCAGCCCAUGUUAAACUUAAUAUGAAAAUGUGGAGAUUUACAGUUGGUAAGUUCUCGGGUCUAAUAUUAACAGAGCCGAGAACUGAAACCCGAAGCAAUGUCAUUAUAAGCCAUGUAAAAUCUUUCUGAAAACAUGUAAAGUGAUAUGAGACAUUCAAAUGUGCACUCUGUUGCUCUAACUGACACAGCCACACCUCACACCUGGUGUCAGUGAUGCACCAUUGCUCCUUGCAUUGUUUCACUUCUGUAAUUUGGUACUUUUUUGGGACCUGGGUGUUACUCAAUGCUUCCGCUUGCUGCUAGCCCCGAUCACUCUGUCCUGCCAUGCUGCAACAUCUGUGCAACAGCCUCAAGCCUUGUCUCCACCUGACUAUAAGACACCAGACACUGUAAAAAGUACAACUCUGCCAUCUAGCCUAAAUACAAAGAUAUUAUAUUUAGAAUUGAGACAACACAGGUUACCUGAUCAAGAUCUGAAGGUAUGUAAAACUGAAGGGAUGAAAUCCGCUCAUAUUUUAAAAAUGUGUACAUACUAUGUUUAAAAUGAGGCCAGUAAAGACGUAACUUUCUCCUCUUUAUCUCAGAAGAGCGGGUUGUGUCUCCAAGCAUCACAAUGAGCCCUGUCUGGGCGGGUGAAUUCGGGAUCUCACCAGUCAAACUCAUCUGCGCCAUAAGAGACUUCUUUCCAGACAAUCUGGCCUUGGAGUGGAAGCAGGACAGCCAACCACUAAACAUUGUGCCAAUCCAAAGGAAGCUGCAGAGUAUGAAGGAGAGUGACAACACCUUCAGUCUAAUCAGUGAGAUUGAGCCAAAUAUGACUGAGUGGGCACAGGCCUCAAAUUUUACGUGCAAGGCCAAUCACAACAAUCAGGAAUUUAUGAAAACAAUAAGUAUUUGUCAAUCAAUUUCAAGGGCCCCUCCUUCCAUCCAUGUGGAGAUUCCCAGCUUUCAAACAGUAAUGAAUGCAGAAUCCACCGUUAAAGCAACAUGUUUGGUCCGCACUGUUCUUGAUGCCAAGGUGACCUGGCUGAUGAAUGACACGGUCACAGAGGGUAGCACAAAGAGACGGGACAGAAACACAACUCAUUUAAUCAGUGAACUGACCGUUUUGUCAAGUCAAUGGAAACAACUCCAGUCCAUAACAUGUAAAGCUGACCAUAAGUGCUUCUCAUCCACCAAGAGGACUGUGAAUAUUGCAGGGCCAGAAAAUACAUCCACAAUGGUUGUUAUCAGGAGAUCUCUCAAAGAUUUGCUGAGAGGAGGCAGUGCUGUGCUGGAGUGUGAUGUCACAACACCCUCAUCACAUGACCUGUACAUCACCUUUCAAGCCAACAAUGUUGACAUCUCUGGCAGACAGUAUGUUGAACUUCCUGAAGCCACAGGCCUCCUUUCAAUCAGUAGAAGUUUCCCCGUUCCUUCAAAUCAAUUGAAGAAAGACACAAGUUUCACCUGCAAAGUGAACCAAGGAUUCUCCAGCAGCUUUGACUCAAACUCCACAGGCAAUUUUUUUGUGGAUCCAUCAAUGGAACUUCUUCUGGCCCCCAGUGAAAAGUCAGGACCUCAGAGACUCCUAUGCUUUGCCUGGGGCUUCAACCCGCAAAUUAAAUGGUCUUCUGAGUCCCAGAAAAUACCUCCAUCAACUUAUGACAUCAGCAUGGGUGAAGAUGGACGUGUGGCUGUAACCAGUCAGCUUCAUGCCUCUCAAAAGGAGUGGAAAACAGGGAAAAUCUUCACGUGUGAAGUAUCUGACAAGUCUCUGAAUAAAAAUAAGAGAAAGGACAUCAGCCUCUGCUCAGUAACUCCUGCAUCAUCUCAGAUAGUUGGCGUAUAUGUUCAGGGCCCACCACUGGAGGAGCUUCAGAACAAGGGACCAGUGACUAUCACCUGUCUUGUGGUCGGCCCUUCUCUUGAUGAUUUCUCCGUCACCUGGAAAGUAGUUGGGAACAAUCAUGCCCUGAAUGUCCAGAAGGAGCCUCCAGUGAGUCACAGCAAUGGGACAGAAACUUUGCGGAGCUCCCUCAGUGUGUCAGCGGAGGAUUGGCAUGCAUUUAAACAAGUGUCUUGUGAGGCCAAGCACCGUUGUUCCAACCGGGGCUACAAGGACCAUGUAACCAAAAGCAGAGAGCUGUAUCCACCAGCAGUGAAGAUAAUACAACCAGCUGCCCAUGACCUUUCUACCUCAGACGUCGUCGCAUUUAUUUGCCUCGUCUCUGGAUUUUUCCCGUCUAAUAUAUUAGUGUACUGGGAGGAGAAUGGCCAGAGACUCCCUUCAACUCACUUCAUCAACGGUCCAACAUGGAGAUACACAGGGAGCAGCACAUACUCAAUGAGCAGCAGACUAAACACAUCAAAAACCGAGGACAGGCAGUCUACGUAUUCUUGUGUUGUCAGACAUGAGUCAUCUGAAACGCCUUUUGAAAGCUCCAUAAAGGACGUGUUUGCCUCGGUGACCUACAGCAAACCUUCAGCCACCUUGCUCCAGGGCUCCGGUGAACUUGUGUGCCUGGUCUUCGGCUUCAGCCCUGCAUCCAUUAACAUCACUUGGUUUCUUGAUGACACCAAGGAACUGUUGGACUACAACACCAGUGAACCCCACAGAGGCCCAAAUGGAAAGUUCAGCAUUCAAAGCCACCUGCGUCUGUCCCAAGUCAUCUGGUUACCUGGUGCAACCAUCACCUGCAGGGUGACGCAUGCAAACGUCACCCUACCCCAGAAUAUUUCUAAACCAGACUCCUUGGAGAACUGUGAUUUCCUAGAUGACAUCAUGCAUGCUGAAGUGAACGAGGACACGGGUGUGGAAAGCUGGUAUAUGGCUUUCACUUUCCUCAUUUCUUUCCUCAUCGCCAUUAUCUAUGGCGUCUUCGCUACCAUGAUGAAGACUAAAUGAUGAUGAUCCCAGUACCGAUCCCAUUUCCUGAUCCAAAUGUGGACUUUUAAAGAUUUUAAUGGCGUUUGGCUUUUGUAGUUUUGAAAUGUAAUUGAUUCCUUUUAAUAUGAAAUAUUAUUAUAUGUUAUGGAAUUGGUUUAUACUUUAGGCCUGUUUGUUUCUUUUCAGUUCUAUAUUGUAAAUCGUUUCUUUCAGUUAUAUAUUUGGUGUGGCAUGUAUGUAGUCCAACUGUGUAAGAGGAAACAUGACAAUAAAUAAAAAUAUUUAAAAAAUAA